Molecule: long non-coding RNA, 301 nt
Organism: Physeter macrocephalus (sperm whale)
Lineage: Eukaryota; Metazoa; Chordata; Mammalia; Artiodactyla; Physeteridae
Exons: 3
Source: RefSeq, a predicted model, not a curated record
GCAGCUUGCUGCAGAGACCGGCCUGCAGGAGUCCAGUCCCUUAUCAGACAGGAGAGCAGAGUGAUGCCAACUGCUUCUGCUGAAAUGAUGCAUCCCAGGCAGAGGAGGGAGGAAGCAGCAGGGCUGAAGUCACGACUGGGAUGUUCAGCAGGCCGGCACACCUGAGAACAGAAGAUGGCCGUCUGCAAACCAGGAAGAGGACCCUCACCAGACAGAUCUGCCAGCACCCUGCUCUGGGACUUCCAGCCUCCAGAUCUGCGAGAAUAAAUGUUUGUUGUUUAAACCACCAGUCUUCAACAAC